UUCGCAAUGCCCGAAAGGGUGACGAAGCGACGCCGCGUGUGGGAUGAAGGCCCUCGGGUUGUAAACCACUGUCGGGAGUUAAGAGUUGUAGGGGUGCUAAUAGUAUUUCUACUUGACUAAGGCUCCGGAGGAAGCCACGGCUAACUCUGUGCCAGCAGCCGCGGUAAUACAGAGGCGGCAAGCGUUGUUCGGAAUUAUUGGGCGUAAAGAGCAUGUAGGCGGCUAUGUAAGUCGGUUGUGAAAGCCUUCCGCUUAACGGAAGAAUGGCGGUCGAAACUGCAUGGCUUGAGUGCGGGAGGGGAGAGUGGAACUUCUGGUGGAGCGGUGAAAUGCGUAGAUAUCAGAAGGAACGUCGGCGGCGAAAGCGACUCUCUAGACCGUAACUGACGCUGAGUGUGCGAAAGCUAGGGGAGCAAACGGGAUUAGAUACCCCGGUAGUCCUAGCCGUAAACGAUGGGCACUAAGUAGAGGGGUUUU
This 477-nucleotide ribosomal RNA is filed under the name anammox bacterium enrichment culture clone EAMX-c19. RNAcentral describes it as "bacterial SSU rRNA". It matches the Rfam family "Bacterial small subunit ribosomal RNA", at positions 365 to 832 of the family's 1533-position model. The record is from RNAcentral.